Molecule: long non-coding RNA, 293 nt
Organism: Poecilia latipinna (sailfin molly)
Lineage: Eukaryota; Metazoa; Chordata; Actinopteri; Cyprinodontiformes; Poeciliidae
Exons: 2
Source: RefSeq, a predicted model, not a curated record
GAUCGCACAGACAGAGAAGCAGCAGAGCCACUACGGUCCUCAUGGUCCCACCGUCUGCUGCGUGACGCAGGGCAGAGAGGAAGCACAAGAGAAGAACGAGAAACAAACGAUGGCAGAAGAAGAACUCAGAUUGAGGGACAGAGGAUGAGACGAUGAGCACAGCGACUAGAAGGAGACGCCUUGAAAAAAAGGCUGACCUUUUUCUCAUAGGAGCAGUCCCCGUCUGGCGAGUCUGACGUCAGAAACACAAGCAGAGUUUUCGUCUCAUUAAACAAACUCGUUAACUCCUUUAA